UCAAGGGAUGAGGGGGCUAUUGAAGGUAAUGACAAAAAAGGGUCUAGCAGGGUUUUUUUGUUUUGUUUGGUGGCCAGGAGAAAGUAGCGAGGACUGGCCUGAGGUGCAAAGCUGGUUAGUGGUCAAGCUUUUGCAAAGUUUCCUCACUGAAGACUAAAGGGGCUGUCAGAGGAUUAAAAGGAGUUCUUGGUUUUUUCAUUUUAAGAUUCAUUUGUGGAUUUCCAUGAAAACUCAUGAAAAAUCUGUCCCCUGCUGCACGUGCAAAGUUCUAGACCUCACCUGGGGGAUGAUGGUCAGUUUCUCUCGGAGGUCAUGGAGCCCAAUGGAAGCAAUAUCUACCCCAUCAAUGAUGAUCUGGCCACCUGCAGCCUCUAGGAUUCUGAAGAGGGCAUUUGUCAAGGAUGACUUCCCAGCUCCUGUCCUGCCGACCACACCAACCUGUAAAUACAGUUCCUUUGUACAUUA
Molecule: long non-coding RNA, 465 nt
Organism: Leopardus geoffroyi (Geoffroy's cat)
Lineage: Eukaryota; Metazoa; Chordata; Mammalia; Carnivora; Felidae
Exons: 2
Source: RefSeq, a predicted model, not a curated record